UUCCCCUAGUAACGGCGAGUGAAGCGGGAAGAGCUCAAAUUUAAAAUCUGGCGGUCAUCGGCCGUCCGAGUUGUAACCUAGAGAAGCGUUUUCUGCGGCGGACCAUGUACAAGUCUCUUGGAACAGAGCGUCAUAGAGGGUGAGAAUCCCGUCCUUGACAUGGACCCCCGUCGCUCUGCGAUGCGCUCUCGAAGAGUCGAGUUGUUUGGGAAUGCAGCUCAAAAUGGGUGGUAAAUUCCAUCUAAAGCUAAAUAUUGGCGAGAGACCGAUAGCGAACAAGUACCGUGAGGGAAAGAUGAAAAGCACUUUGGAAAGAGAGUCAAACAGUACGUGAAAUUGUUAAAAGGGAAACGAUCAAAGUCAGUCGCGUCUGCCGGGACUCAGCCUUGCCUUCGCGCACGGUGCAUUUCUCGGUUUGACGGGCCAGCGUCGAUUUCGACCGGCGGAAAAGGGUCGGAGGAAUGUGGCUCCUCACGGAGUGUUAUAGCCUUCGGUCGUAAACGUCGGUCGGGAUCGAGCUCACUCGCACGGCACGCCUCUGGUGGUGCCCGCGCUGGCGUAAUGGCUUUGACCGACCCGUCUUGAAACACGGACCAAGGAGUCUAACAUGUCUGCGAGUGUUUGGGUGGCAAACCCGAGCGCGUAAUGAAAGUGAUGGUUGGGAACCCUUCGCGGGGGGCACCGACGCCCGUGGCCGACCUUCUGCGACGCGCACGAGGCAGAGCAUGCAUGUUGGGACCCGAAAGAUGGUGAACUAUGCCUGAAUAGGGUGAAGCCAGAGGAAACUCUGGUGGAGGCUCGUAGCGAUUCUGACGUGCAAAUCGAUCGUCAAAUUUGGGUAUAGGGGCGAAAGACUAAUCGAACCAU
RNAcentral lists this ribosomal RNA (867 nucleotides) under Botryobasidium obtusisporum. Its description in RNAcentral is "eukaryotic LSU rRNA". It matches the Rfam family "Eukaryotic large subunit ribosomal RNA", at positions 75 to 943 of the family's 3401-position model. Lineage: Eukaryota; Fungi; Basidiomycota; Agaricomycetes; Cantharellales; Botryobasidiaceae. The record is from RNAcentral.